Pelobates cultripes (western spadefoot toad) is the source of this 215-nucleotide non-coding RNA. Lineage: Eukaryota; Metazoa; Chordata; Amphibia; Anura; Pelobatidae. The record is from the annotation of a GenBank genome assembly.
CUGGAGAAAGGUAAGAUUUUAACCCCUUCCUACCCCUUCAGCCCGGCGGGAGGGGGGCCCUGAGGGUGAGGGCACCCUCAGGGCACUAUAGUGCCAGGAAAACGAGUUUGUUUUCCUGGCACUAUAGUGGUCCUUUAAUCUCUUAAGGACACAUGACAUGUGUGACAUGUCAUGAUUCUCUUUUAUUACAGAACUUUGGUCCUUAAGGGGUUAAA